RNAcentral lists this ribosomal RNA (1554 nucleotides) under Salmonella enterica subsp. enterica serovar Montevideo. RNAcentral describes it as "bacterial SSU rRNA". It matches the Rfam family "Bacterial small subunit ribosomal RNA". Lineage: Bacteria; Pseudomonadati; Pseudomonadota; Gammaproteobacteria; Enterobacterales; Enterobacteriaceae. The record is from RNAcentral.
AAAUUGAAGAGUUUGAUCAUGGCUCAGAUUGAACGCUGGCGGCAGGCCUAACACAUGCAAGUCGAACGGUAACAGGAAGCAGCUUGCUGCUUUGCUGACGAGUGGCGGACGGGUGAGUAAUGUCUGGGAAACUGCCUGAUGGAGGGGGAUAACUACUGGAAACGGUGGCUAAUACCGCAUAACGUCGCAAGACCAAAGAGGGGGACCUUCGGGCCUCUUGCCAUCAGAUGUGCCCAGAUGGGAUUAGCUUGUUGGUGAGGUAACGGCUCACCAAGGCGACGAUCCCUAGCUGGUCUGAGAGGAUGACCAGCCACACUGGAACUGAGACACGGUCCAGACUCCUACGGGAGGCAGCAGUGGGGAAUAUUGCACAAUGGGCGCAAGCCUGAUGCAGCCAUGCCGCGUGUAUGAAGAAGGCCUUCGGGUUGUAAAGUACUUUCAGCGGGGAGGAAGGUGUUGUGGUUAAUAACCGCAGCAAUUGACGUUACCCGCAGAAGAAGCACCGGCUAACUCCGUGCCAGCAGCCGCGGUAAUACGGAGGGUGCAAGCGUUAAUCGGAAUUACUGGGCGUAAAGCGCACGCAGGCGGUCUGUCAAGUCGGAUGUGAAAUCCCCGGGCUCAACCUGGGAACUGCAUUCGAAACUGGCAGGCUUGAGUCUUGUAGAGGGGGGUAGAAUUCCAGGUGUAGCGGUGAAAUGCGUAGAGAUCUGGAGGAAUACCGGUGGCGAAGGCGGCCCCCUGGACAAAGACUGACGCUCAGGUGCGAAAGCGUGGGGAGCAAACAGGAUUAGAUACCCUGGUAGUCCACGCCGUAAACGAUGUCUACUUGGAGGUUGUGCCCUUGAGGCGUGGCUUCCGGAGCUAACGCGUUAAGUAGACCGCCUGGGGAGUACGGCCGCAAGGUUAAAACUCAAAUGAAUUGACGGGGGCCCGCACAAGCGGUGGAGCAUGUGGUUUAAUUCGAUGCAACGCGAAGAACCUUACCUGGUCUUGACAUCCACGGAACUUUCCAGAGAUGGAUUGGUGCCUUCGGGAACCGUGAGACAGGUGCUGCAUGGCUGUCGUCAGCUCGUGUUGUGAAAUGUUGGGUUAAGUCCCGCAACGAGCGCAACCCUUAUCCUUUGUUGCCAGCGGUCCGGCCGGGAACUCAAAGGAGACUGCCAGUGAUAAACUGGAGGAAGGUGGGGAUGACGUCAAGUCAUCAUGGCCCUUACGACCAGGGCUACACACGUGCUACAAUGGCGCAUACAAAGAGAAGCGACCUCGCGAGAGCAAGCGGACCUCAUAAAGUGCGUCGUAGUCCGGAUUGGAGUCUGCAACUCGACUCCAUGAAGUCGGAAUCGCUAGUAAUCGUGGAUCAGAAUGCCACGGUGAAUACGUUCCCGGGCCUUGUACACACCGCCCGUCACACCAUGGGAGUGGGUUGCAAAAGAAGUAGGUAGCUUAACCUUCGGGAGGGCGCUUACCACUUUGUGAUUCAUGACUGGGGUGAAGUCGUAACAAGGUAACCGUAGGGGAACCUGCGGUUGGAUCACCUCCUUACCUUAAAGAAGC